UCAGCCCCAGUCCCCGAAGACUGCUGGAUUCCCAUUGGCAGAGUGGGGUUGGGUUCUGGACAGAUGGGACAGAUGCAUGCUACCACAGGUCACUGGGGGAGCUUGUGAGUCUGCUGCUGCUUCCAAGACUCAUCCCUAUUGUAUGUAUCAGCAUUCCUUGUUGCUGAGUCAUAGUCCGUUGUAUGGACAUACCACAGUUUGUUUAUCCAGUCACCUGUGGAUGGAUGUUUUGAGUUGUCUCCAGUUUUUGGCGGUUAUGAGUAAAGCUGCUGAGAACGUUCAUGAACAGGUGAUGAGAAGCUACAAGGCGACCAUCCAGCAGACCUUGGACAUCCUAUUCCUCCGGGAAGGCUCCGAGUUCCUGAGCAGCACAGAUGCUUCCACCCGGGACUCGGCUGACCGCACCAUUAUUGCCUGGGAUUUCCGGACCUCUGCCAAAAUCUCCAACCAGAUUUUUCACGAGAGGUUCACCUGCCCCAGCCUCGCCUUGCACCCGAGAGAGCCCGUGUUCCUGGCACAGACCAAUGGCAACUACCUGGCCCUUUUCUCCACUGUGUGGCCCUACCGGAUGAGCAGACGGCGGCGCUAUGAAGGGCACAAGGUGGAGGGCUACUCAGUGGGCUGCGAGUGCUCUCCAGGCGGUGACUUGCUGGUGACGGGCAGCGCCGAUGGCCAGGUCCUGAUGUACAGCUUCCGCACAGCCAGCCGAGCAUGCACACUGCAGGGGCACACACAGGCCUGUGUCGGCACCACCUACCACCCUGUGCUGCCCUCCGUCCUCGCCACCUGCUCCUGGGGAGGGG
This 803-nucleotide small RNA is filed under the name Pongo abelii (Sumatran orangutan). Its description in RNAcentral is "processed transcript". Lineage: Eukaryota; Metazoa; Chordata; Mammalia; Primates; Hominidae. The record is from RNAcentral.